AGGGAAUCUUCCACAAUGGACGAAAGUCUGAUGGAGCAACGCCGCGUGAGUGAAGAAGGCCUUCGGGUUGUAAAGCUCUUUCGGACGGAAAGAAAUCGCCGCCUCUAACAUAGGCGGUGGAUGACGGUACCGUAAGAAGAAGCACCGGCUAACUACGUGCCAGCAGCCGCGGUAAUACGUAGGGUGCGAGCGGUAAUCGGAAUUACUGGGCGUAAAGCGUGCGCAGGCGGUUUGGUAAGACAGGUGUGAAAUCCCCGGGCUUAACCUGGGAACUGCGCUUGUGACUGCCAGGCUAGAGUACGGCAGAGGGGGGUGGAAUUCCACGUGUAGCAGUGAAAUGCGUAGAGAUGUGGAGGAACACCGAUGGCGAAGGCAGCCCCCUGGGCCUGUACUGACGCUCAUGCACGAAAGCGUGGGGAGCAAACA
RNAcentral lists this ribosomal RNA (426 nucleotides) under uncultured Rhodocyclaceae bacterium. RNAcentral's name for it is "bacterial SSU rRNA". It matches the Rfam family "Bacterial small subunit ribosomal RNA", at positions 356 to 774 of the family's 1533-position model. The record is from RNAcentral. Lineage: Bacteria; Pseudomonadati; Pseudomonadota; Betaproteobacteria; Rhodocyclales; Rhodocyclaceae.